GGCUUUCCUCGGUGGAACAUUAUUAGAAUUCCGGCCAUAUGGUCCAUUAUUGAAGCAUUUCCUGAGUAACUGCUCAUUUCGAACAUAGUUUACUGGGCUUCUAGCCUCAACCAUGUAUUACUUAGUGCCAGAAAAACUAAAAUCCAUCUUUGGAAGCUGAUGUAUGAAAUAAAGCAGCUCGAUUGCUUUUCUAAUUAUUUCAACUUGCUUGUAAUGUUCCACUUAUCUAAAAUGUACAACGUGAUAAUGGCGAC
RNAcentral lists this long non-coding RNA (254 nucleotides) under Phoenix dactylifera (date palm). Its description in RNAcentral is "long non-coding RNA (PDAC_LNC018304)". Lineage: Eukaryota; Viridiplantae; Streptophyta; Magnoliopsida; Arecales; Arecaceae. The record is from RNAcentral.